UCAUAGAUAUGAAUGAGUAGAUAGGACACGCCCCUUUGAGCUGCGUGCUACAGCGAGGCUAAGCUAGUGGGGGCAAAGUUUCAGUGCAUUCCGUUGAUGUAGACGGCGUAAAAACGGAAACAAGAAGUAUGCCGGCUCACUGUGCUGCAUACAGUUACACACUACGUCGUACGAUUGAGACAAGGAAACUUGGAAUGACUUUUCAUAGGUUUCCCAGAGACUAUGGGUUGAGGAGGAAGUGGAAGUUUGUCGGCUUAGACCUGGUGUCAUUCCAUCAGUGUUAAACUUCCCGGCUCAUCUUUGAAGAGUACGUGCCAGAAAGACCACAACCAAGCAGCCUUGAGAUCUUAGGCAGCGUCUCCCUCAGCUUUUUAUUGGAUAGGCAUAGUGAGAGACAGACAGGAAACGGGGGAGAAGAGUCGGGGGAAGACAUGCAGCGAAGGGCCACGAGCGGGAAUCGAACCCGGGCUGCUGCGUCGGGGACCAGUCCCUGUACAUGGGUCACCCACUUAACCCGUUGAGCUAUACAGGCACUCGUGUUUUGUCUUUUAAAGGUUUAAUAAUCUCAUUAAAUGUUUUGCAUUUUUAAAAAAUGUUUAAUAUUCUUCUUGUUUAAUUGUAUUUUUUAAAUGUUUA
Molecule: long non-coding RNA, 636 nt
Organism: Amphiprion ocellaris (clown anemonefish)
Lineage: Eukaryota; Metazoa; Chordata; Actinopteri; Pomacentridae
Exons: 3
Source: RefSeq, a predicted model, not a curated record